GUCCUUCUAUACCCUUUCCCGUCAGAUCUGAACAUUGGUCUUGGUGGUGGUAAAAGGAGGAAAACUAAUACUGAAGCUGGCCUCAAUGUUGUAAUCUGGUAUAUGGCAUGUGGCUAGUUUCAAACAGGG
This is a small nucleolar RNA of Callithrix jacchus (white-tufted-ear marmoset), 129 nucleotides long. The record is from Ensembl. Lineage: Eukaryota; Metazoa; Chordata; Mammalia; Primates; Cebidae.